UCAAAUCAAAAUUAACCCAAUCCAAUUAAAUUGCAAACAAAAAUAUGCAAAAGAAUGAAGAAAAAUGCAUCACCAUAUUCUCGUUUGUGUGAGAGAAAUUGGGCGUCGAUAAGUAUCGAGGAAGGUAAAGUGCGCCUAAAAACCUUGAAAUACUGACGGGCUAAGAAAAUUGUUGCAUUUAUUUCCCGGGCAGUGGCAGGCCGAACCGGGCCCGUAUGCCGGCUCCAAUUCUGAAUCUCUAGAAACAGAUAAAGUACAAAAAUAAUAAAGAAAUAAAAAUUACAAGGUGUAUUCAAUUGUGAGCCCUAUUUGAUUUUCAUUCUUUUUUUAUUAAAAUAAAAAAUAUGAUCGUUAUCCAUCACAUCAAACCAUUAAAUUUGAAUUUCUAUCUCUUGUGUGGGAUCCGUAAAGACUAUAUUUUUCAUUCUAAUUUUUUUCAAAAAUGAAAAACCAACGAAGACUAAAUUUUGAAAAUUUUUAUGGACUUGUUAGACUUUCAGGGUUUCAUGGACUAUCGAGGAAGGUAAAGUGCGCCUAAAAACCUUGAAAUACUGACGGGCUAAGAAAAUUGUUGCAUUUAUUUCCCGGGCAGUGGCAGGCCGAACCGGGCCCGUAUGCCGGCUCCAAUUCUGAAUCUCUAGAAACAGAU
Molecule: long non-coding RNA, 649 nt
Filed under: Olea europaea (common olive)
Lineage: Eukaryota; Viridiplantae; Streptophyta; Magnoliopsida; Lamiales; Oleaceae
Description: long non-coding RNA (OEUR_LNC009544)
Source: RNAcentral